UAUAUGAAAUAUAUGUCACAUAUUUUAAAAAAUUGAGCACAAUAUAUAAACUAAUCCCAAGGUGGAGGGUUUUCCCAAAGUAUACUUUAUUAAAACAUGUAGAUUUUCCUCUUUCAAAUAUAAUAUACUGCAAACUAUUAGAAUGGUUGAAUUAGAAUGCUUUUGGUUGCAAGCAAUAGAAACCUAACUUGAUUACAGAAAAUGGUGGUUCAUUGGAAGGACCUUGGGCUGAUUCCUUACAGAAUGAGAGAAAGAAUGGAACACUUCAGGCUGCAUGUGGCAGAAAUGGAGCUAGCCUGGGGGUUGAUUGACUGACUCUCUAGAGGCAGGGACCUGGCAAGAUUGACUCCAUAUUGCAUUGCAGCAUUCCUCAAUAUAGAGGUUUCACCCUUUUUCAGUUAAAGAUGACCUCCUCUGUAGAGAAGGUGGCCAUAAAUCCCUCCAAAAUAAUAACUUUCAGCUGAGUGUG
RNAcentral lists this long non-coding RNA (469 nucleotides) under Homo sapiens (human). Its description in RNAcentral is "HSALNT0108983". Lineage: Eukaryota; Metazoa; Chordata; Mammalia; Primates; Hominidae. The record is from RNAcentral.